CAUGGAAGAGGGAUUAAAAGUUUCCCUUGCUUUAUGUUGUAUGUGCAUUUCUGGAAAAUGGCAUAUAACUUGAAUUCGCAUAAAGAGAACCCAGUUUACAAUGUAAUAAAUAGGGAUAUAUUCCAAGACCU
Long non-coding RNA from Gavialis gangeticus (Gharial), 131 nucleotides. RefSeq lists it as uncharacterized. The record is from RefSeq and is a predicted model, not a curated record. The transcript has 3 exons. NCBI's taxonomy places the organism in Eukaryota, Metazoa, Chordata, Crocodylia, Gavialidae.